Long non-coding RNA from Ctenopharyngodon idella (grass carp), 1411 nucleotides. RefSeq lists it as uncharacterized. The record is from RefSeq and is a predicted model, not a curated record. Lineage: Eukaryota; Metazoa; Chordata; Actinopteri; Cypriniformes; Xenocyprididae. The transcript is spliced from 2 exons.
AACAGUUGAGACUCGUGAAGAAGAAAUCAUUUACGUCGAGCCGACCUUCUACAAAAGAAAAGGGCAGAAAACGGAUUAUAAAGAGGAGGAUCAUGUGGAGUAUGCUCCAAUUGCCAAGAGAAGAUGAUCAAACUUCAAGUACCAGACCAGCGGUGUGAUCGCUUUCACAGAAACCUCUGUAGUUUCCUCUGAGCUCUGAGUUUUGAGUUUUGGGAUUGUUAAAAAUGUGAUAUUCAGUGAUGAACUAAUGAAAUUCUCUUUUAAAGAAUAUGCAAGGACUUUAAAAAAAAACAAAAAUGAUCUAAAUUUUUAGAUCUAAAACUUUUUCAUGUUUGACAAAGCCUCGUUUUUUUUCCCCCCUUUUUAACAAAUCCCCUAAAAAACAACAAACAGGAAACAUUUUGCCUCCUCAUUUCAAAAAUAUAUAACUACAUGUGCAUGCUAAAUAAAUCCCUGCUAUGGUCAGCUUCAUUUGGAGACCCCUGACAGUUUGAGCUGGUUUGAUUUACGUCUGCACAGAAAUGUGGUUUGAUUUGUUGGUGGACAAACAGGUUCAGCAUCUACUGCUGGAUGUUUGUGGUUGAUGUUUGACAGACGCACUGCUGACUUUAGCUGUGUGGUUGAAGGGCUUUUUUCCAUCCCUGCUCAUAUGAAGACCCACAAUCUGACUUUAGCUUUAACAAAACAGACUUUACUGUGAGAUACUGAAUCUAACAGAUAAACGACUCUCUCAUAUAAUUUCAUACAGUCAAUUCAAGUCAAGUCAAAUUUAUUUUUUAUUGCUUUUCACAAUACACAUUAUUUCAGUGCAGCUUUACAGAAAAUCAUGAUGUCAAUGUUUAUAAUAUCCUCAUGCCUUAUAGUCACAUUUAUCAGAUUAGAAAUGGGCGAUAAUAUAGUUUACCUUUUCAAUUAAGCAGUUGAGAUUUGCUGUUUUUGCUCUAUGUGAGUAUAUGGUUUGCAAACAUACAUAUAUAUACAUAUAUAUUCAUAUAAACAUACAUACAUAUAUAUUCAACUUUAUAUAAGAAGCUGGCUGAUAGUAUAGUUACAUUUUGUGACAAAAUAAAAGAAUCAAGCAGUUAAGAUUCAACAUACAAAAGUUAUUAAGCUAUUUGAUGUCACACCCUUUAAAGAUCAUAUCCUGCUUGUCUGAUAUGAUACAGUCAUUUUAAGAAUGCAUAUAUAUGAUUUACUGUUUUAACAUUUAUGGUAUGCAAAUGACCGAUGGUUGUUAAUUUCUUUAGUUUCAGUUGGUUUCAGUUUAGUUUCAGUGGGGGGCAACACUGCUAACACUGCUAACAAAUGAAUGUUUCUACGUUACAAUUAAGUGUAAAAAAUAUGUGCAUAUUCAGAAAAAUAGAGUGUGAAAAUUCAUUUAAAAUUAAAUAAAAAAAAAUAUUUUCAACAA